UCAUCUCCGCUACACCCAUUUUGUGUACGUUGAUGCUUCACUGCCCAACAUUCUGCGCCAUACAACAUCGCUGGCCUUAUUGCCGUCCUAUAAAAUUUUCCCUUAAGCUUCAGUGGCCUACGACGGUCACACAACACGCCGGAUGCACUUUUACACUUCAUCCAUCCAGCUUGUAUUCUAUGGUUGAGAUCUCCAUCUAAUUCUCCGUUCUCUUG
Molecule: long non-coding RNA, 215 nt
Filed under: Malus domestica (apple)
Lineage: Eukaryota; Viridiplantae; Streptophyta; Magnoliopsida; Rosales; Rosaceae
Description: long non-coding RNA (MDOM_LNC008692)
Source: RNAcentral